GAUGAAGAACGUAGCGAAAUGCGAUAAGUAAUGUGAAUUGCAGAAUUCAGUGAAUCAUCGAAUCUUUGAACGCACAUUGCGCCCAUUAGUAUUCUAUUGGGCAUGCCUGUUCGAGCGUCAUUAAGUCCACUUAAGCCCUGCUUAGUGUUGGGAGACUGCUCCAGCGGUGCUACCCUGUAGCUACCCUGCAGCUCCUCAAAGACAGCGGCGGAGUUGUGGUAUCCUCUGAGCUUAGUAACUUGUUCUAGCUUUCGAGUACACCACUUCCCCUGCCGUAAAACCCUUAAUUUUUAAUGGUUGACCUCGGAUCAGGUAGGAAUACCCGCUGAACUUAAGCAUAUCAAUAAGCGGAGGA
This 355-nucleotide unclassified non-coding RNA is filed under the name soil metagenome. RNAcentral describes it as "partial contains 5.8S ribosomal RNA, internal transcribed spacer 2, and large subunit ribosomal RNA". The stretch from base 1 to 120 matches the Rfam family "5.8S ribosomal RNA", at positions 35 to 154 of the family's 154-position model. The record is from RNAcentral.